GGUGAGAUGGCCGAGCGGUCUAAGGCGCCAGACUAAGGAGACCAGCGCAUUUGAUGCGUAGCUACAUCUGGUCACGUUGUGGCGUGGGUUCGAAUCCCACUCUCAUCA
RNAcentral lists this transfer RNA (108 nucleotides) under Lentinula guzmanii. It matches the Rfam family "tRNA". From Rfam's summary of the family: Transfer RNA (tRNA) molecules are approximately 80 nucleotides in length. Lineage: Eukaryota; Fungi; Basidiomycota; Agaricomycetes; Agaricales; Omphalotaceae. The record is from Rfam by way of RNAcentral.